GAUGAACGCUGGCGGCGUGCCUAAAACAUGCACGUCGAGCGAAGCGGGGACGGGUGAGUAACACGUGGAUAACCUCCUAUCAGACUGGGAUAACAUCGGGAAACCGGAGCUAAACCGGAUACUUAUAGAUGGAUCCGCGCUGCAUUAGCUAGUGGGUAAGGUAACGGCUUACCAAGGCAACGAUGAAUAGCCGACCUGAGAGGGUGAGCAGCCACACUGGAACUGAAGCACGGGCCAGACUCCUACGGGCGGCAGCAGUAGGGAAACUUGCGCAAUGGACGAAGGCCUAACGCGGCAACGCCGGGUGAGUGAUGAAGGGCGCCGGAUCAUAAAGCGCUGUAAUUAGGGAAGCUGUGCCUAAUCAGAAAGCCACGGCUAACUACGUGCAAGCAGCCGCGGUAAUAC
This 405-nucleotide ribosomal RNA is filed under the name uncultured bacterium. RNAcentral's name for it is "partial 16S ribosomal RNA". It matches the Rfam family "Bacterial small subunit ribosomal RNA", at positions 28 to 526 of the family's 1533-position model. The record is from RNAcentral.